Molecule: long non-coding RNA, 936 nt
Organism: Triticum dicoccoides
Lineage: Eukaryota; Viridiplantae; Streptophyta; Magnoliopsida; Poales; Poaceae
Exons: 5
Source: RefSeq, a predicted model, not a curated record
CCACCGAACUCUCUCGUGAAUCCUUAAAAAAAACUCUCUAACCGCACCCUCACCCCUUGUCGACCUCCUCUCCCCCAUGAUCUCUUCCCCGUCGCCGCCACCAACGCCGACCGGUUCCGGCGAGCUCCGGCCGCGCGCUACACGCCCCCAAGCUCCACCCCUCCCCCCUCGUCCAGAUCCGUGCCUCAAGGCGUACAUCAUUGCCCGCGGCUAGGGUUUCGGGCGCCUCCCGUGUUCUUGCCGGAAUCCACCACAAUCAGCGAUGGCGAGGCCGGCACUUGCGGGAUCCGUCACCGAUGUUGCCCAGUCACCAUGGCGCGGAGGAGGAGGGGGCACACCUAGCCGCCAGCCCUGCUCUGCUCGAGGAGUAGGGGCCUGCUCCUAGGGUGACCAAGAGGUCCUGCACGAGCUCAAGCAUGGCCAUGAUGACCCACCACGGCAGGUGAAUUUUGCUUCUAUUCUGGUUGUGGAUAGCCUUGGUAUCAAUGUGAAGAGUUUGGAUGGAGCAUCGAGGAUUUCAGGCAUGGGGUGGGGUGGCCACGUGUUGCAGGAUCGCCAGAAGAGUUGGAUGUGUUCUGUAGAGGCCAGGUGAUCAAUGUCGUUGCCAACAGUAGGGAACACAUGGACAUGAAGUUGCGGUGGCAACAAUGACGACGGUAUCGACAUUGUCACGGGGCUGCGGCGGCGACGACGACGACGACAUCAUCACGAUGAUGCGGGGACGACGGCGGUGUCGUCACGAUACUGCUGCGGAGGCAACGACGAUGACAUCAACACCAUCAACGGGCUUGUGGAGGCGCCGGCGACCUAUACGUGUGGUGUAUAAUGGAUAUAUAUAUAUGUGUGUGUGUAUUAAUUAUCUAUAUCAGAUAUGUAUGUUUGACUGUAUGCAUAACAUGGGUGUAUUAUGAAAUGCAUGUAUGUGAGUAUUAUAAU